Streptomyces sp. NRRL S-1521 is the source of this 109-nucleotide small RNA. It matches the Rfam family "Streptomyces RNA 4115". From Rfam's summary of the family: Identified by deep sequencing of transcriptome at the end of exponential growth phase. Sequencing size consistent with notrthern blot size. NCBI's taxonomy places the organism in Bacteria, Bacillati, Actinomycetota, Actinomycetes, Kitasatosporales, Streptomycetaceae. The record is from Rfam.
GCGUGGGUCGGCCCGCUGCGCUGGAGUCAGCGGGCUGGGGGACACCGCCGCCUCCAUCCCCGCGGGCGGCGGACCGGUCCGGGAGGUGAACACCGCCUCCCGGGCUGUG